This 492-nucleotide ribosomal RNA is filed under the name uncultured bacterium. RNAcentral's name for it is "partial 16S ribosomal RNA". It matches the Rfam family "Bacterial small subunit ribosomal RNA", at positions 29 to 507 of the family's 1533-position model. The record is from RNAcentral.
AGUGAACGCUGGCGGUAGGCCUAACACAUGCAAGUCGAACGGCAGCACAGUAAGAGCUUGCUCUUACGGGUGGCGAGUGGCGGACGGGUGAGGAAUACAUCGGAAUCUACUUUUUCGUGGGGGAUAACGUAGGGAAACUUACGCUAAUACCGCAUACGACCUACGGGUGAAAGCAGUGGAUCUUCGGACCUUGCGCGAUUGAAUUAGCCGAUGUCGGAUUAGCUAGUUGGCGGGGGAAAGGCCCACCAAGGCGACGAUCCGUAGCUGGUCUGAGAGGAUGAUCAGCCACACUGGAACUGAGACACGGUCCAGACUCCUACGGGAGGCAGCAGUGGGGAAUAUUGGACAAUGGGCGCAAGCCUGAUCCAGCCAUACCGCGUGGGUGAAGAAGGCCUUCGGGUUGUAAAGCCCUUUUGUUGGGAAAGAAAAGCAGCAGGUUAAUACCCCGCUGUUCUGACGGUACCCAAAGAAUAAGCACCGGCUAACUUCGUG